GGGCCAUAGCUCAGUGGUACAGCAUCCACUUUGCAUGCAGAAGACCCCAGGAUGAAUUCCUGGCAACUCCA
Molecule: non-coding RNA, 71 nt
Organism: Podarcis lilfordi (Lilford's wall lizard)
Lineage: Eukaryota; Metazoa; Chordata; Lepidosauria; Squamata; Lacertidae
Source: the annotation of a GenBank genome assembly